This is a non-coding RNA of Phrynosoma platyrhinos (Desert horned lizard), 70 nucleotides long. The record is from the annotation of a GenBank genome assembly. NCBI's taxonomy places the organism in Eukaryota, Metazoa, Chordata, Lepidosauria, Squamata, Phrynosomatidae.
GCCAGUGUGGUGUAGUGGUUUUUGCAUCGGGCUACAACUCUGGAGACCAGGGUUCAAAUCCCUGCUGGAG